UACAGAGGUCUCGAGCGUUAGGCGGAAUCACUGGGCUUAAAGCGUGUGUAGGCGGAUCGUUAAGUACCUUGUGAAAUCCCACGGCUCAACCGUGGAACUGCUUGGUAUACUGGCGAUCUUGUGCAACCUAGGGGCGAGCGGAACAGAUGGUGGAGCGGUGAAAUGCGUAGAUAUCAUCUGGAACGCCAAUGGUGAAAACAGCUCGCUGGGGGUUUGCAGACGCUGAGACACGAAAGCCAGGGGAGCGAACGGG
RNAcentral lists this ribosomal RNA (253 nucleotides) under uncultured bacterium. RNAcentral describes it as "partial 16S ribosomal RNA". It matches the Rfam family "Bacterial small subunit ribosomal RNA", at positions 524 to 776 of the family's 1533-position model. The record is from RNAcentral.